This 114-nucleotide ribosomal RNA is filed under the name Acanthosepion pharaonis. Lineage: Eukaryota; Metazoa; Mollusca; Cephalopoda; Sepiida; Sepiidae. The record is from RNAcentral.
UACAGCCACAUCAACACUGAAACACUGGUUCCUGUACAAUCACUGAUGUUAAGCAACACUAAGCCUGGUCAGUACCUAGAUGGGUGACCACUUAGGAAUACCAGGUGCUGUAAG